Molecule: ribosomal RNA, 370 nt
Filed under: uncultured Bacteroidales bacterium
Lineage: Bacteria; Pseudomonadati; Bacteroidota; Bacteroidia; Bacteroidales
Description: bacterial SSU rRNA
Rfam family: Bacterial small subunit ribosomal RNA
Source: RNAcentral
GGCUUAACACAUGCAAGUCGAGGGGUAGCAGGGUAGCAAUACCGCUGACGACCGGCGCACGGGUGAGUAACACGUAUCCAACCUUCCCAUAACUCGGGGAUAGCCUUUCGAAAGAAAGAUUAAUACCCGAUAGUACUUUUUCAAGGCAUCUUGAGAAAGUUAAAGAUUUAUUGGUUAUGGAUGGGGAUGCGUUCCAUUAGAUAGUUGGUGAGGUAACGGCUCACCAAGUCUUCGAUGGAUAGGGGUUCUGAGAGGAAGGUCCCCCACAUUGGUACUGAGACACGGACCAAACUCCUACGGGAGGCAGCAGUGAGGAAUAUUGGUCAAUGGGCGAGAGCCUGAACCAGCCAAGUAGCGUGAAGGAUGACGG